Molecule: non-coding RNA, 4411 nt
Organism: Cucurbita pepo subsp. pepo (vegetable marrow)
Lineage: Eukaryota; Viridiplantae; Streptophyta; Magnoliopsida; Cucurbitales; Cucurbitaceae
Source: RefSeq, a predicted model, not a curated record
AUAGUUUAUUAAACUGAGUCUUAGUUGAUGAUCGGAGAAUUAUUUCAUCCAGUGAGCGGCCAUGGCAGUCACCUGAAGAAAGUUCCAAGUUCAACGGAAGACUGCAUUCGUGCUCUCUUCUCGACCACCACAGCGUUGCAACGGCAACGUCAAUCAUCUCUAGGUUUUACAACUCCGACGACGAUUUUCGUGAACUCCGUCGACAAAUGACAGCCAUGGCGGGUUUCAGCGUCCGAGCCUCGAUUCAGCUUCAACUUAGAGCUCUUUCAAUAUUCUGGGUGAAGAAGAGCGGCGUUGUUACUUGCUUGAAUGCUAGAGUGUAUAGCUCGUCAGGUCCUGUUAGGUAUACUCCAAAAAGGUCUUUGAAUGAUAAGAAAUCAAGAACACCUUCGACACCGGAAAUUGUAAAUGGAAACGAUUUCAGUAGUAAGUUGGAUGUUAAUUCUCCGAGGAUUGAGGUUAAACAUCGGGGUGCAGUACGGAGAAGUAAUUUUUGUGAUAAAUUUCGUGAUCAAAAUCCGAACGAGAAGAAGAACUAUUCAGCUGGUGGAAGUAUGGCAGGACUUGAAGAUGAAUUUCAUGACAAUUUGAGCUAUGUUGAUGAUCACUUGCAAGAGCCUAAGGCAGUAUGUGAGACGGAAAAUAUUUACGGCAAGAAACGUUAUGAUGGAAAGGUUGAUUUGCGGGGAAAUAAAAGCAGGCAAGAUGCUGAGAAAUUGGCAAUUGAAUUACUUGCAACAAGAGCCUUCACUGCAGUUGAGCUGAGGAAGAAAUUGCUUGGCAAGAGGUUCUCUCUGGACACAGCGGAAGCAGUGAUCAAUGAUUUUAAGAGCAGGGGGUUGAUCAACGAUGGCCUGUAUGCUGAAGGAUUUUCUCAUUCAAGGUGGUCGUCCUCCAGUUGGGGACCCAGGAAGAUCAAGCAGGGUCGAUUGAAUCAUCACCGGCUUUUCCGCCUUGGGGUCAUCGGCAGCAGCUUUCCCCAAUUCGACACUUCGAAUCUCCUCGAGCAUGGCGACUAUACUUUUCAUGGGGGGUCGAUCGUCGGACUUGACGCUGACACAGAUCAACGCGACGUCUAGGGUUUGAAGAAUUUCGCGCAUUGUGGGUUCGGUUCUUUCUCUGAGCUUCGAGUCUAAAAUGUCGGCUGGGUUUUUCUUUGUGGCUAAAUGGUCUCUAACCCAUUGCGCCAAAUUACCUUCUCCUGGUAAUGUCGGGUCCAGAGGGUGCCGCCCUGUUAGAACCUCCAUUACCACUAUACCGAAGCUGUACACAUCGCUCUUCUCUGAGACUGUCAAUAUCGACCCAUGUUCUGUAAUCACCAGGUAAUUAUGAAUCCAUGGGGUUUAUUUGCCAAAGGGUUUGGAAAGGGGGGUUAGAAAUGAACAUACCUGGGGCCAUGUACCCGAAAGAGCCAGCAAGUUGUCUGAGUAUUGGCGUCUUUGAAGCAUCAUUGCCGUUGUUUGUACUCACAUUGCUGGCGAGACCAAAGUCGGCUAGGUAUGGCUCAAAGUCAUGGCCGAGCAGGACAUUCAGUGUUUUCACAUCGCCAUGUACGAUUGGUGGAGUACAAUCAUGGUGAAGAUAAGCUAGAGCAUGAGCCACUCCUAAGAGGAUUUCGUAUCUGGCCUCCCAUUCUGCUCCUCCUUUUCCAGUGUCAUGGAUAAAAGAGCUCAAGCUUCCAUUUGGAAGAUAAUCAUAAAACAGGAGCUUCAAAUUCCUGUGGGAUCCCCAACCCAGCAGCCUUAUUAUGUUCUUGUGUCGAAUUAAUCCCAAAGUACGGAUUUCAGAGUUGAAGCCUCCAGAUUCGUCGGUUGACCACAUUUUCUUCACUGCCACUGUUUUCCCUUUUGGGGUUGUGAUUCUGUACACGGCACCGGAGCUUCCAGCACCGAUCACGUUCGAUUCAGUUAAGUUUUUAAUGAUAUAGUCGAUUGAGAUAUCAAGUUUUUGAAACAGGGUUAUUUCCCAUUUAUCGCCAUCUAUCAGUAGCAUGAAAUUAGCCAUUUGUGUGCGAAUUAGCAAGUAGAUCACUAAAAAGAAAAGCACUGCACUUAUGCUGAUCAAGAUUGGCAGGACUAUCUUUAUUGCUUCUUUGCUUACGUUUCUGGAUUCAAACUUGCCUUCAGGAAUUACUUGCUCACCUGCAACAUAGAGGUCUUUGUUUCCAGCAAUGGCGCUUUUACUGAGCUUUUGAAAGAAUGGCGUGUCGGGCAAUUCGCCGGAGAAGUGGUUGUAGGAGAUGUUUAGAGUCACAAGGUUUUCAAGCUCUACAAGAAGGUUUAGGUCCCCAGAGAGGUUGUUAUGGGAGAGGUCUAGAAUACUUAGCCUGACGAGACCAGAGAAUUCGGAUGGGAUUUCACCUGAGAAAUGAUUCCAACUUAGAUUAAGAGCAAUGUCAAGUGAAGAAAUUAUACCUAAUUGCUUAGGGAGUUCCCCAGAGAAGAAAUUGUUGCUGAGGUCUAAAAAUUGAAGCUUUUGACAGGAAACAAUUUCUGCUGGGAUUUGCCCUGAAAGUUGGUUGUUUCUCAGGUCAAGUUUUGUUAGUUCCGUCAAAGCUCCGAUGCCCGGGUUGACCUGACCUUCAAGCCUGUUGUUGGAUAUAUUUAAAAACUGUAGGCUCAUCGGCAGUUCGAUUGGAAGAGUACCAGUGAACUCAUUUGAACUGAGGUCAAUAAACUGAAGAACGUCACAGUUUGAUAACGAUUGUGGAAUUUCUCCAACAAAAUGGUUUUCAGCUAAGUCCAGAAAAUCUAAGCUCUUCAAAUAUCCCAUCUCUGAUGGAAUAGUACCUCCAAACCUAUUCUUAGCCAGUCGAAACCUCGAUAGUGUCCUACUAUGUCCUAUUUCAGGUGGAAUGAUCCCCGAUAGAUUAUUUCGUAUGAGAAGAAGUUUCGUGAGAUUUUUCAAACCGAAAAUCUCUUUCGGUAUUGAACCCGUUAAGUGAUUGUACGAGAAAUCAAUGGCCUGGAGAUCAGGGCAGUCUGAGAGAGUUCUGGGAAUACUGCCUGUUAAUUUGUUCUCCCAAGCAAAAAAUAAAUGCAAGUUCUUAAGGUUGCCUACCGAAACCGGUAUCUCGCCCGAAAGUUUGUUGUUGUCUACUUCCACAUGAACCAAAGUCGAACAAUUAAACAUUUCCGGAGGUAGUGAACCCGUAAUCUGAUUAAGACUUAGUUGAAACUCUUGAAGUUUAGGUAGCCGUCCUAUACUUUUUGGUAUGGUUCCAUUUAGAAGAUUUUCGGAAACGUCUAGGAUUACGAGUUCCUCACAGUCUCCAAUCUCUUCUGGUAUAGAUUCUUCCAACAAGUUCAACCAUAGAAAAAGUGUUUGAAGCUUUUUCAGCUUCCCAAUUCCUCUAGGUAUCCGCCCAGAAAUACUAUUCUGAUACAAUAUAAGAGUUUGCAACUCACUGCAGUUUCCGAUCUCUUCCGGGAUUGUGUUGAAAAGUUGUGCUUUAUAUAUGACUAUGUUCUGUAUGUUUUUCAGCAUCCCAAUCGAUGAAGGAAGAGCUCCGAAGAUUCCGGUUUCGGCUAGGCCUAACAUGACUAAACUGCUGCAGUUUCCAAUCUCCAUUGGCAAUUUACCUUCCAGAAGUUUAUUCCCUCCAGCUCUGAAAAGAUUAAGCUUCUGCAACAUUCCAAUGCUCUUAGGAAUCUCCCCACGGAUUUCAUUGUCUGCAAGUCUAAGAUACACGAGGUUCGAAAGAUUCCCAAUCGUUAACGGUAUCGUUCCUUCAAACCCAUUACUUUGAAGGGACAAAUCCUCCAGCUUCCCCAGCCUGCAAAUCUCUUCUGGGAUUUCUCCCAAAAGGUUAUUUUGGCUAAGAUCAAGAACUCUGAGCUCGUUAUAAUCUCCAAACUCUUUCGGGAUUCUUCCUGUUAUAUUCGUCUCAGAUAUCACCAGGGUCCUCAAGAACUUAAGAGCCUGAAAAUUCGAUGGCAAUGUACCUCGCAAAUCCAGUGCUGCCAGGGUUAUCUCCACUACAUAUCCAUGGGAGUCGCAGACAACUCCAAACCAUGAACACGGUGUCGGGUCCUCCGGAUUCCAUGUACUCAAAGCAUCUGUAGAGCUUGUUAGAUUACUCUUCCAUGUGAGAAGAGCUCUACCCUGCUCAUCAAUGGAGUAACAACAUGGAAAGAGACGGAUACUUAGUGAUAAAAUCAAGGCUAUGGUGAAGAAUUGAGAAGGAAUAAAGGGAUUUCUUAGAAUUGCAGCCAUUGUUCUUCAAAACUUAUGAUACAAAAUGAUCUGAUUUGGAUUGAACAAAGGGGAAAUCCAUGUUUUGUUUAUAGGAGAAGAAGAAAAAUAAGAACAGAGGUGCAUUCCACGUGUCGUGUUCGAUACGAGAAUAUGUUGAUGCUACGAUUGAGAAAAAUCGAAAGAUCAGGGGUAAGUUUAAAAAUUUUAAAAGAUU